CCUACGGGCGGCAGCAGUAAGGAAUAUUGGUCAAUGGACGCAAGUCUGAACCAGCCAUGCCGCGUGAAGGAUGAAGGCCCUCUGGGUUGUAAACUUCUUUUGUACGGGAAAAAACCCCUGCUCGUGAGCGGGGCUGAUGGUACCGUAAGAAUAAGGAUCGGCUAACUCCGUGCCAGCAGCCGCGGUAAUACGGAGGAUCCAAGCGUUAUCCGGAUUUAUUGGGUUUAAAGGGUGCGUAGGUGGGCUAUUAAGUCAGUGGUGAAAGCCUGCAGCUUAACUGCAGAACUGCCAUUGAUACUGAUAGUCUUGAGUGCAGUUGAGGUGGGCGGAAUGUGUCAUGUAGCGGUGAAAUGCUUAGAUAUGACACAGAACACCGAUUGCGAAGGCAGCUCGCUAAACUGUAACUGACACUGAGGCACGAAAGCGUGGGUAGCAAACAGGAUUAGAUACCCCAGUAGUC
This 460-nucleotide ribosomal RNA is filed under the name uncultured bacterium. RNAcentral describes it as "bacterial SSU rRNA". It matches the Rfam family "Bacterial small subunit ribosomal RNA", at positions 338 to 795 of the family's 1533-position model. The record is from RNAcentral.